UACGAAGGGGGCUAGCGUUGCUCGGAAUUACUGGGCGUAAAGCGCACGUAGGCGGCUUUCUAAGUCGGGGGUGAAAUCCUGGAGCUCAACUCCAGAACUGCCUUCGAUACUGGAAAGCUCGAGUCCGGGAGAGGUGAGUGGAACUGCGAGUGUAGAGGUGAAAUGCGUAGAUAUCGGAAGGAACAUCAGUGGCGAAAGCGACUUCCUGGUCCAGCAUCGACGUUCAGGCACGAAAGCGUGGGGAGCAAACAGG
This 253-nucleotide ribosomal RNA is filed under the name uncultured bacterium. Its description in RNAcentral is "partial 16S ribosomal RNA". It matches the Rfam family "Bacterial small subunit ribosomal RNA", at positions 524 to 776 of the family's 1533-position model. The record is from RNAcentral.